CGCAACGAGGGCUCGGGACACAGCCCUGCUUCCUGGCCCACGUCACCCGUCGUGGCCAGAGCCCUGGCCCUGCCAUCGUGUC
Molecule: microRNA precursor, 82 nt
Organism: Bos taurus (domestic cattle)
Lineage: Eukaryota; Metazoa; Chordata; Mammalia; Artiodactyla; Bovidae
Source: Ensembl